UUAAAAAGAGAAGCUAGCAGCUUACCAGAGGGUAGGUGACAUGCUUGCUUCCUAGCAGAAUGGCUGGUGGAAUAGAACAGUGCCUCUCUAAGGCUGCUGCUCUAAAUAAACACCUCUGUUUUACCAGGGUGGAGCAAGAAGUUAAUAAAUGCAAGAUUUAACCUGGGAUUUUGUUUUCCGUGAAGAAUGAUGUACUCACGUGCCAAAGGGCAUCUGGAAGGAGCUGAUCCAGCAGGUCAAGAGUCUUGUCACUAGAGCUGAGGCACCAGAUAACAGCACUUCAUCAGACUGGACCACUAAUCCACACAGGAAAGUAAAAUAUUUGAAUCCAAGCACAGAUAUUCCUCCAACACACCUGAGCAGCCCAACUAGAAAACAAGCAGGAGCACAGAAUAGUGUUGCAUGUUCCAUUCUGUAAACCACAGUGACCAAAAGGACUAAUAAAAACACAAAUCUUUCUUUUAUAA
Long non-coding RNA from Haemorhous mexicanus (house finch), 467 nucleotides. RefSeq lists it as uncharacterized. The record is from RefSeq and is a predicted model, not a curated record. The transcript is spliced from 2 exons. Lineage: Eukaryota; Metazoa; Chordata; Aves; Passeriformes; Fringillidae.